AGCCCAGACUCCUACGGGAGGCAGCAGUUAGGAAUAUUCGUCAAUGGGGGGAACCCUGAACGAGCAAUGCCGCGUGAAUGAAGAAGGCCCUAUGGGUUGUAAAAUUCUGUUGUAUGGAGAGAAAGAUAGAUAUAGGAAAUGAUAUGUAUUUGACGGUACCAUUCAAGAAAGCCACGGCUAACUACGUGCCAGCAGCCGCGGUAAUACGUAGGUGGCGAGCGUUAUCCGGAAUUAUUGGGCGUAAAGAGUGCGCAGGCGGUUUGAUAAGUCUAAAAUAAAAGCCCGAAGCUUAACUUCGGUUCGUUUUAGAAACUGUCAGACUAGAGUGUGGUAGAGGCAAAUGGAAUUUCUAGUGUAGCGGUAAAAUGCGUAGAUAUUAGAAGGAACACCAGUGGCGAAGGCGAUUUGCUGGGCCACAACUGACGCUCAUGCACGAAAGCGUGGGGAGCAAAUAGGAUUAGAUACCCCCGUA
This 472-nucleotide ribosomal RNA is filed under the name uncultured bacterium. Its description in RNAcentral is "bacterial SSU rRNA". It matches the Rfam family "Bacterial small subunit ribosomal RNA", at positions 328 to 792 of the family's 1533-position model. The record is from RNAcentral.